Molecule: long non-coding RNA, 563 nt
Filed under: Olea europaea (common olive)
Lineage: Eukaryota; Viridiplantae; Streptophyta; Magnoliopsida; Lamiales; Oleaceae
Description: long non-coding RNA (OEUR_LNC008996)
Source: RNAcentral
UCACCAAUGCCAAUGCAUCACAAAAAUGACUUCCAACCACCGCUUAGAGCCCUUUUCUAAAAUUAACUAGCUUCACUAUCAAAUAUUGUAAAAAUAGAAGUCCCCAAACCUCCAAAUUCUCAAUUCGUUUACAACAACAAAAUAUGUGUCCCAUUUCACAGCAGCCCCCAAACUAUGAAACAAUCCAACACUUGUUUAGGUUAAAUAAAGAAUAAAUAACCUUCUGGACAUUAUUUACAAAAUUAAUUUCCCAAAAAAUCACACUCAAAUUUCUCUUCAACUUCCCACUUUUGAUCCCAACAUUACUGACGUGAGCUGUCUUCCUCAAUGUCUUUAGAUUAUUCUCAUCGGAAAAAACCAAUAUUUUUUGACGGAAUCGACUUUUAUCACCACUCUUGGAUAGUGCAGAGGAGGCUUUGACGGCCAAUAUUGCCAUUCCAUUCGCCUUCAGUUAGCUCUUCAAGUGGCUCCACCUGUGAUUUGAACGCCGAUGUGCACGACCUUGCUGGCCAGAGCUCCGAUGAUGACAGUGCAAGACUAGGAGAGUGAGAAAUGAGAGCGGG